RNA transcript from Helianthus annuus (common sunflower), 2605 nucleotides. RefSeq lists it as uncharacterized. NCBI's taxonomy places the organism in Eukaryota, Viridiplantae, Streptophyta, Magnoliopsida, Asterales, Asteraceae. The record is from RefSeq and is a predicted model, not a curated record. The transcript is spliced from 11 exons.
GUAGUUUUACUUAUAAGGCAGAAAUGAUAAAUACAUCGUUUUCCUUUGUUGGAAGUUGAAAAGAAGAAAUGAUAAGUUUCCUUUCUGUUUCCUUUUAUAUAAUUUGAUGAUGGAUCAUCACACGUAAAUUCUUCUUUCUUCAAUAUCGUUUACUUUUUGGUUUACGUCCGAUUCAUCGCUUCGUCUACCAAAACCCUAACUCCCUCCCACACAAUUAAUUCGGCAUCUCAUCUACUCAUCUGUUAUGUAGACAAUAGGAUUAAAAAUCAAACAUCAAAUAGGAGAUAGAUACGAGUAAUCGGAGGCCUACUCAGGGUGCAAAUUGCUCUGUUGUCAUGGAAUCUGGUGAUUGGAGGGCUGAAGUGUCAGCGGAUUCACGGGAAAGGAUAAGAUACAAGAUAUCGGAAACCUUGAACAGGCAUAUUCCAUUCUCUACAUACGAGGGACUACAGGAGCUUAAGAAAGUAGCUGUGAGGUUUGAAGAGAAGAUUUAUGCUGCUUCCAUUAGCACGUCUGAUUAUUUACGGAAGAUAUCCUCGAAGAUGCUGACUAUGGAGACUAGAUCAGAAGAUCCCAUGUCAGAGUCAGACCCCAUGCAGUCAAACUCUGCUGCUAAUAGUGUAAACCCGCCGAUCAUAUUUCAUAAUACACCAUCAUUCAAUAGCCAGGGUGUAAGUGGUGCUGUUGAUGACUGGAGGGCUCCAUUGGAACGGGAACGGGUCGUGAACAAGAUAAUGGAUAGCUUGAAGGAAAAUCUUCCCUUCACUAGAUAUGAUAGACUACAUGAACUUAAGAAAAUAGCUCAGAGGGUUGAAGCGGAGAUUUUCACUGCUGCCACAAGUCAGUCUGAAUAUUCACGGAAGAUAUGUUUGCAUAUGCUGACUAUGGAGACUAGAUUACAAAACUACGUGUCAGACUCCAUGUACUCAAACUCUGCUGCCAUAAGUGUAAACUCCUCGGUACCAUUUAAUACGACAGCAAAUGGCGGAGAUUGGCAAGAGGAAGUGUAUCAAAAGAUAAAAACUAUGAAGGAUCUGUAUCUACUAGAUUUGAGGCCUACUCAGGGUGCAAGCGGUGCUUUUGGUGAGCCCACCUUGGAACAUGGUGAUUGGAGGGCUACAGUGCAAGCAGAUUCACGACAAAGGAUCGUGAACAAGAUAAUGGAGACCUUGAAGAGGCAUGUUCCAUUUGAUGGACCCGAGGGACUACAGGAACUUAUGAAAAUGGCUAUGAAGUUUGAACAGAGGAUGUAUACUUUGUGCACAAGCCAGUCUGAUUAUUUACGGAAGAUAUCCUUGAAGAUGCUGACUAUGGAGACUAGAUAUCCUGCUGCUAAUAAUGUAAACCCUCAGAUCCAGGUAUAAGUUUAUAAAAAAUACAGUGAGUGUGCUCUGACAACUGCACUUUCAUAUUGUACGAUAUCUUGGGAAAGCUGCCUAAUUUUGUUAUCAUCAUUUGAAGUUCUGCUACACUGGGUGGGCAUCCCUAGCUUCUUUGGUCUUCUGAAUUUCGGCCAUUUGUUGUUGGAAUACGUUGAAUGUAUCUAACUUGCUUGCAAUGUCAUCCAACUGAUCGCUGUAUACUCCCCUACGCGAGCCCGAACUUCCAACUGAAGGCGAUGCCGUACCCGAUCUUGAUUUUAGAGCGCGCCUUUUUGCGGCAUCUCUUCCGUAUUAAGGCCGGUUUGGCGAAUCAUCCAGAAAGUCCUCCAACUCUUGAUCUCGUGCAUCCGAUUGGGCUUGAAACGAGGGUCCUUGACCUUUUGGAAGACGUGUUAGUUUCGCUACCUGAUGUGUGUAAAAUGCAACAUAUAAAUUAUAUCAAAUGAGGCAUAAAACUAACCCUUUUUUAGUACUAAUGUUGGAAAAAGAGUGUUUUUGUCUUCCUUUUGUAUUUUCAGGAUUAAAUGAGCUCAAAGUCACAAAAGAAGCAAAAAGACAGCUAAAUCUAACAUAAAUACAAGAAAAGGAACAUAAGUGGAUUGCCCGACCCCUCAACAGCAUCCUCCCAAGCAAAAUAGAGAAGGCAGAAGACUGAACACGCCCCGUGCUCAGCCAGCACGGGGUCAUGCCCAAGAAGCAGCAGAAAAGACAAACCUAUAGAAGCUUCUAUUGCCCUCCACGGGGCCGUGUCCAGCGGACACGGGGGCGUGGCGAAAGUACAGCAGGCGCAUUAAUUGUAAUUGCGAAUUACAAUUAAUGAAGAGAGAGAGUGUCGGACAGGCACGGGGGCGUGUCCAGCGGACACGGGGCCGUGCCCAGCCUUCUGUUCAGCCUAUAAAUAAGAGUGCUUGGCUUCAUUACAACUCAUCCCUUGGCACACCACCUCUCUCACACUUCAUCCACCACCCACCACCAUCACAACACCAUCAUCCACCACCAUCAUCCAUUGUCCAUCAUAGAGUGUGUGAGUCGUCUCGGGAUCCAAGAUUGAUCGUAAGAGUUCUUGACAAUCAAGGCCAUGUUUGCCUAAGUCUCUUACAUCACUUGGUGAAGACAAGUGUUUAGUAUAAUACUUUUUAUUUUUAAUCUUUUACACUUUUUAUUUGGUUUUGUAUUAAUGACUUUAAUAACUAGUUGCUUAUGUUGAAGGUGAUCUUUCCUUA